CUGAAACUGACAUUGUAGUGGAAGUGAAAGUGUCAGUGGAGGAUGCGAGGCGUGCCGAAAAUGUGCAUUACAAGAAAAGGCCGCAACGAUUGUGGAAUUGCAGCAGGAAGAUGCUGAAAAUACUGAUAGUGCAAAUAUAGAGGGUCACUCGCAAUCGCAAGAGAGCAAGUGAGUGGAUUAUAUCGUUGGACUACGGAGAUAGUGCUCUUCCUCCUCGAUACAUACGCAGAGAGAGAGGAGAAAUUUUCCAGCGGGAAGUUUUCCAAAAAAAAAAUUUGGGAAGACAUUGCGGAAACUAUGAGAAGCAAAAUUCCACUAAUAACUGGACCUCGAUGUGCAGCCAAGAUGAGGAGUUUAAAAAAAACGUACAAGAGUGGCAAAGACCAUAAUAACAAAAGUGGCAGUGACAGACGAACAUGGUUGUUAUAUGAAGGAAAAACAAAAUCUCCUGGGCUUCGCCGGUUGCAGUACCUUCUUCGACAGGAGUCUCCUCGCAAAGAAGUCAGGAAUCAGAGGGCGAAGUGUCAUCCGAUUUAUCCUCGAGCCGGAAGACAAGA
Molecule: long non-coding RNA, 557 nt
Organism: Neodiprion virginianus
Lineage: Eukaryota; Metazoa; Arthropoda; Insecta; Hymenoptera; Diprionidae
Exons: 6
Source: RefSeq, a predicted model, not a curated record